RNAcentral lists this ribosomal RNA (500 nucleotides) under uncultured bacterium. Its description in RNAcentral is "partial 16S ribosomal RNA". It matches the Rfam family "Bacterial small subunit ribosomal RNA", at positions 30 to 523 of the family's 1533-position model. The record is from RNAcentral.
AUUGAACGCUGGCGGCAGGCCUAACACAUGCAAGUCGAGCGGAUGAGAGGAGCUUGCUCCUCGAUUCAGCGGCGGACGGGUGGGUAAUGCCUAGGAAUCUGCCUAGUAGUGGGGGACAACGUUUCGAAAGGAACGCUAAUACCGCAUACGUCCUACGGGAGAAAGUGGGGGAUCUUCGGACCUCACGCUAUUAGAUGAGCCUAGGUCGGAUUAGCUAGUUGGUAGGGUAACGGCCUACCAAGGCGCCGAUCCGUAACUGGUCUGAGAGGAUGAUCAGUCACACUGGAACUGAGACACGGUCCAGACUCCUACGGGAGGCAGCAGUGGGGAAUAUUGGACAAUGGGCGAAAGCCUGAUCCAGCCAUGCCGCGUGUGUGAAGAAGGCCCUCGGGUCGUAAAGCACUUUAAGUUGGGAGGAAGGGCUUACAGCGAAUACCUGUGAGUUUUGACGUUACCGACAGAAUAAGCACCGGCUAACUUCGUGCCAGCAGCCGCCGUAA